RNAcentral lists this ribosomal RNA (487 nucleotides) under uncultured bacterium. Its description in RNAcentral is "partial 16S ribosomal RNA". It matches the Rfam family "Bacterial small subunit ribosomal RNA", at positions 28 to 507 of the family's 1533-position model. The record is from RNAcentral.
GAUGAACGCUAGCGAUAGGCUUAACACAUGCAAGUCGAGGGGCAGCACAAGGUAGCUUGCUAUCUGGGUGGCGACCGGCGCACGGGUGCGUAACGCGUAUGCAACUUGCCCUAUACAGGAGGAUAACCCGUCGAAAGACGGACUAAUACUGCGUAUGCUCACAACUUGGCAUCAAGUGGUGAGGAAAGAAGUUCGGUAUAGGAUAGGCAUGCGUCCCAUUAGCUUGUUGGUGAGGUAACGGCUCACCAAGGCAACGAUGGGUAGGGGAACUGAGAGGUUUAUCCCCCACACUGGUACUGAGACACGGACCAGACUCCUACGGGAGGCAGCAGUGAGGAAUAUUGGUCAAUGGGCGCGAGCCUGAACCAGCCAAGUCGCGUGAAGGAUGACUGUCUUAUGGAUUGUAAACUUCUUUUAUACGGGAAUAACAAGAGUCACGUGUGACUCCCUGCAUGUACCGUAUGAAUAAGCAUCGGCUAACUCCGUG